UUCAAUGCUCCUGCUUCCCGAAGUCGUUGAUGUAUACUUUGGAAAGUUUUUCUAUUAGGCACAUUAAGAUUAGAAAAUCGUGCACGGAAUAACCGAAUAGUUUCUAAUGAAUGUCAAUUAGCAAGUCCAUAAAUAUAAUGCAUGUCAGUCAUCUGGGCGUUCGUAUAGCCAUAGACGACUUCACUAACAAGACUUUAAGUAUUAAACAUAAAAAAUACACGUCUACAUUUUUCUAAAAUUUUGACAAACUCAAGUUUUUUUAGCUACGUUAAUCGGAAUGUUUUUAAAAGAUACCAACGGAAUUGUUAGAUUUUUUUUAUUACUUGGUAGGUCCAGUGUAGUACGGUAUAUUUUUAUUUCGGCUACUUUAAUAAUUUUAAAGCUAGCAAAAUUGGAUGGUUGAAAUUCUUUUUCGCCCCAUAUCUUCGAAACGAAACGUCCUAUCAAAAAUCAUAAAAGGACAAAAAUCAUAAAAGUUAAAAACCAAACCUAGUGGGAGAAAAUAUUGCAUUUUUGUAAUACACUCAGAUAGGAUAUGUUUUUGUUGUCAGAAAAAAUUAAGUAAAACAAGAUAAUGUUUGAAAUACGAAAAGGUAAUUCAAACAAUUAAACUUAAAAUUAUUACCGGUAUGUUAACGAUGCAUUUUGCAGUAAACGAUAUUAAAUAAUGAUCGAUACCUUUUUCCAUAAUCAAUUACAACAUGAUCUUUAGCAGUUCCAGUGAUACCAUCAUGAUGCUGAAAUAACGACAAGGCCUGUCUGGCACUAACCAAUAGGUGUUCCAACCCAUUGGUUUUGUCAGUUAUCCAGUUUGCUCCACGUUUGUCGCUGUGGUUUCAUUGAUGGACGUUAGAAAAACAAAAUACAAAGUGUACCGAAACUAUUAUACAAUAUCCGAAAGAGUGAAGCAAGAAUAACGAAAUGAAAAGAGAAAAUUGUAUAUGAGUCAAACUAAUAAAAAAUAAUUUUUUAUUAAUAGUUAUUAACAUUAUAAAAAAUUUAAUACUUAACAA
Long non-coding RNA from Anthonomus grandis grandis, 1013 nucleotides. RefSeq lists it as uncharacterized. The record is from RefSeq and is a predicted model, not a curated record. Lineage: Eukaryota; Metazoa; Arthropoda; Insecta; Coleoptera; Curculionidae. The transcript has 2 exons.